AUGGCCGGGCUGCGGCUUCUUGUUGGGGCGGUUUGGUUGCUGGCGGUGCUGCGGCAGGGCGCCGCGGCGGAGGCGGGGGCCGUCACCGUGGACGGGCGGCGCGCCAUUGCGUCCACGGGCGAGGACUUCGUGUGCGCCACCCUCGACUGGUGGCCGCCGGACAAGUGCGACUACGGCACCUGCAGCUGGGGCAACGCAUCCCUCCUCAACCUGGAUCUCUCCAACAAAAUCCUGCUCAAUGCCAUCAAAGCCUUCUCGCCGCUGGUGCUCCGGCUGGGCGGCUCGCUGCAGGACAAGGUGGUGUACGGCACGGCGGACCGGCCGGGGCCGUGCGCGCCGUUCAACAGGAGUAAGUCGGAGAUGUUCGGCUUCACCCAGGGCUGCCUGCCCAUGCCCCGCUGGGACGACCUCAACGCCUUCUUCGAGAAAUCCGGGGCGAAGAUCGUGUUCGGGCUCAACGCGCUCAACGGCCGGGUGCCACUGCAGGGCGGGGCCAUGGGAGGCAACUGGGACACCACGAACGCGGCGUCCUUCAUCCGGUACACCGCCGGCAAGGGCUACAAAAUCUAUGGCUGGGAGCUCGGGAACGAGCUCAGCGGCACCGGCGUCGGGACCAAGGUCGGCGUGGCUCAGUACGUCAAGGACGCGAUCGCCCUGAAGACGACGGUGGACGCCAUCUACCGGGGCAGCCCGGAGAAGCCGCUGGUGCUCGCGCCGGGCGGCUUCUUCGACGCGCGCUGGUACGGCGAGUUCAUCGCCAAGACCAAGCCCGACAUGCUCAACGUGGUGACCCACCACAUCUACAACCUAGGGGCAGGGGUGGACAGGGACACACAGCUGAUGGACAGGAUCCUCAACCCGAAGGCGCUCGACGGCAUGGCGGGCCCGUUCAGGGAUCUCCAGGGGCUGCUGAAAGCCGCGGGGACGUCGGCCGUCGCCUGGGUCGGGGAGUCUGGAGGGGCUUACAACAGCGGGCAUCACCUUGUCACCGACGCAUUUGUGUUCAGCUUCUGGUUCCUGGAUCAGCUGGGGAUGUCGGCGAAAUUCGACACCAAGAGCUACUGCAGGCAGAGCUUCAUCGGUGGGAACUACGGCCUGCUGAACACGACCACAUUCCAGCCAAAUCCUGACUACUACAGUGCUCUGCUGUGGCAUCGCCUGAUGGGAACCAAGGUGCUGGAAGCCAAGUUCACGGGCAGCAACAUGGUCCGCGCCUACGCGCAUUGCGCAAAGCAUGCUCCGGGGAUAACCCUGCUGCUCAUCAACCUGCACGUCAACGCGACGAACCACGUCUCGGUGGCGGGCCGCGGCGGCGCGCACGCCGGAGGAAGGAAGCACGGGGGGAGGUUUGCUCAGCCGCCCGGGGCGGCGAGGGAGGAGUACCACCUCACGCCCGAGGGCGGCAACAUCCAGAGCCAGGUGAUGCUGCUGAACGGCAGGGCGCUGGCCGCCGGCGCCGACGGGGGCAUCCCCGGGAUGGAGCCUGUGAAGGUGGACGCGGCGCGGCCCAUCGCCGUGGCCCCCCGGUCCAUCGUGUUCGUCCACAUGCCGGAUUACCAUGCCCCUGCGUGCGCUUAG
Molecule: ribosomal RNA, 1578 nt
Filed under: Triticum aestivum (bread wheat)
Lineage: Eukaryota; Viridiplantae; Streptophyta; Magnoliopsida; Poales; Poaceae
Description: partial small subunit ribosomal RNA
Source: RNAcentral